CCCUUGGGUCCGGCAUAACUCCGGGAAACUGGAGAUAAUUCCGGAUAACGCAUAUAUGCUGGAAUGCUUUAUGCGUAAAAUGGAUUCGUCUGCCCAAGGAUGGGUCUGCGGCCUAUCAGGUAGUAGUGGGUGUAAUGUACCUACUAGCCUACGACGGGUACGGGUUGUGAGAGCAAGAGCCCGGAGAUGGAUUCUGAGACAUGAAUCCAGGCCCUACGGGGCGCAGCAGGCGCGAAAACUUUACAAUGCGGGAAACCGUGAUAAGGGGACACCGAGUGCCAGCAUCAUAUGCUGGCUGUCCAGGUGUGUAAAAUACACCUGUUAGCAAGGGCCGGGCAAGACCGGUGCCAGCCGCCGCGGUAACACCGGCGGCCCGAGUGGUGAUCGUGAUUAUUGGGUCUAAAGGGUCCGUAGCCGGUUUGGUCAGUCCUCCGGGAAAUCUGAUAGCUCAACUAUUAGGCUUUCGGAGGAUACUGCCAGACUUGGAACCGGGAGAGGUAAGAGGUACUACAGGGGUAGGAGUGAAAUCUUGUAAUCCCUGUGGGACCACCUGUGGCGAAGGCGUCUUACCAGAACGGGUUCGACGGUGAGGGACGAAAGCUGGGGGCACGAACCGGAUUAGAUACCCGGGUAGUCCCAGCCGUAAACGAUGCUCGCUAGGUGUCAGGCAUGGCGCGACCGUGUCUGGUGCCGCAGGGAAGCCGUGAAGCGAGCCACCUGGGAAGUACGGCCGCAAGGCUGAAA
This 744-nucleotide ribosomal RNA is filed under the name uncultured archaeon. RNAcentral's name for it is "bacterial SSU rRNA". It matches the Rfam family "Archaeal small subunit ribosomal RNA", at positions 112 to 854 of the family's 1478-position model. The record is from RNAcentral.